Molecule: ribosomal RNA, 253 nt
Filed under: uncultured bacterium
Lineage: Bacteria
Description: partial 16S ribosomal RNA
Rfam family: Bacterial small subunit ribosomal RNA
Source: RNAcentral
UACGUAGGGACCGAGCGUUGUCCGGAAUCAUUGGGCGUAAAGAGCGUGUAGGCGGCCUUUUAAGUCCUGCGUGAAAUCCUGCGGCUCAACCGCAGACGGUCGUGGGAAACUGGAAGGCUAGAGUGCGGGAGAGGAGAGUGGAAUUCCGAGUGUAGAGGUGAAAUUCGUAGAUAUUCGGAAGAACACCAGUGGCGAAGGCGACUCGCUGGACAAGUAUUGACGCUGAGGUGCGAAAGCGUGGGGAGCAAACAGG